This 253-nucleotide ribosomal RNA is filed under the name uncultured prokaryote. Its description in RNAcentral is "partial 16S ribosomal RNA". It matches the Rfam family "Bacterial small subunit ribosomal RNA", at positions 524 to 776 of the family's 1533-position model. The record is from RNAcentral.
UACGGAGGGUCCAAGCGUUGUCCGGAAUCACUGGGUGUAAAGGGUGCGUAGGCGGGUUCGUAAGUCAGAGGUGAAAGCCCACGGCUCAACCGUGGAACUGCCUUUGAUACUGCGAGUCUUGAGUCCUGGAGGGGCUGGCGGAAUUCGUGGUGUAGCGGUGAAAUGCGUAGAUAUCACGAGGAACACCGGAGGUGUAGACGGCCAGCUGGACAGGUACUGACGCUGAGGCACGAAAGCGUGGGGAGCGAACAGG